GUAAAUGAAUGUGUCAUUAUAAAAAGGCACUUUUUGAGAAAGGACCAUUAUAACAUUACUUGUAAUAGGGAAUGCAACUUCCGAUCAGAAAUUUCAUAGGAUGAUUGUCCAUAAUGGGUAGAAGACCCCUAUUGAUGUUGCGGUCAUGAGGUCAAAGGCACUAUAGGGUAUGUAAGUCUCGUCAUGUGACUUGCGAGAUUUCACGAUAUUUUGCACUUCCGGGUACAAACAAAUAUCAACAACAUUGCUUGGGUAAUACUUGUAUGCCGGUGGGAAAGUAAAACUUACAUGGAAAAGCAAAUGAUAUGUGGAAAUUGGCAGAGUUUUUUUGUUUUGUAACGAAAUGCAAAUGGUUUCAUCUUGUGAACAAGUAUCAAUGAAAGACAACUUCGUAUAAUCUUCAGAUAUUUUGACUGAGGACAGUGGUGAGAUGAAAGACGUCAGUAUCCAUUGUAAAUACACUUGCAUGCUCUGCUGUAAAAUCGUUUUGGUAUGUGAUUUCAUGGUUGGAUCUUGA
Ruditapes philippinarum (Manila clam) is the source of this 517-nucleotide long non-coding RNA. RefSeq lists it as uncharacterized. NCBI's taxonomy places the organism in Eukaryota, Metazoa, Mollusca, Bivalvia, Venerida, Veneridae. The record is from RefSeq and is a predicted model, not a curated record. The transcript has 3 exons.